CAGAGCAUAGCUUAACACCUAAAGCAACCCUCUUACACAGGGAAGAUUAUUCGUUAGAAUCGAAUUGUCCUGA
Molecule: transfer RNA, 73 nt
Filed under: Limnichthys fasciatus (barred sand burrower)
Lineage: Eukaryota; Metazoa; Chordata; Actinopteri; Acropomatiformes; Creediidae
Description: tRNA-Val
Rfam family: tRNA
About the family: Transfer RNA (tRNA) molecules are approximately 80 nucleotides in length. Their secondary structure includes four short double-helical elements and three loops (D, anti-codon, and T loops). Further hydrogen bonds mediate the characteristic L-shaped molecular structure. tRNAs have two regions of fundamental functional importance: the anti-codon, which is responsible for specific mRNA codon recognition, and the 3' end, to which the tRNAs corresponding amino acid is attached (by aminoacyl-tRNA synthetases). tRNAs cope with the degeneracy of the genetic code in two manners: having more than one tRNA (with a specific anti-codon) for a particular amino acid; and 'wobble' base-pairing, i.e. permitting non-standard base-pairing at the 3rd anti-codon position.
Source: RNAcentral